RNAcentral lists this ribosomal RNA (2234 nucleotides) under human gut metagenome. RNAcentral describes it as "bacterial LSU rRNA". It matches the Rfam family "Bacterial large subunit ribosomal RNA", at positions 192 to 2449 of the family's 2925-position model. The record is from RNAcentral.
ACUGAAACAUCUAAGUACCCGGAGGAAGAGAAAGAAAUUCGAUUCCGUAAGUAGCGGCGAGCGAACGCGGAACAGGCCAAACCAGUGAAGUUUUCUUCGCUGGGGUUGCGGACAUAUCAUAACGAAGAGGUAUCGUAGAAGAAGAGAGUUGGAAAGCUCCGCCACAGAUGGUAACAGCCCAGUAUUUUAAACGAGAAGACUUUAGAUAUGAUCCAGAGUACCACGGGACACGUGAAACCCUGUGGGAAGCAGGAGGGACCAUCCUCCAAGCCUAAAUACUACCUAGUGACCGAUAGCGUAUAGUACCGUGAGGGAAAGGUGAAAAGAACCCCGGGAGGGGAGUGAAAGAGAACCUGAAACCCUGCACUUACAAGCUGUAGGAGCACAUUAUUUGUGUGACUGCGUACUUUUUGUAGAACGGGCCAACGAGUUACGUUGUGUAGCAAGGUUAAGCACUUAAGGUGUGGAGCCGUAGCGAAAGCGAGUCUUAAAUGGGCGUCCAGUUACCCGACGUAGACCCGAAACCAGGCGACCUAUCCAUGAGCAGGUUGAAGCGAAAGUAAAAUUUCGUGGAGGACCGAACCCACGUACGUUGAAAAGUGCGGGGAUGACUUGUGGAUAGCGGUGAAAUUCCAAUCGAGCCUGGAGAUAGCUGGUUCUCCCCGAAAUAGCUUUAGGGCUAGCCUCAAGCUUAGAGAAACGGAGGUAGAGCACUGAAUGUCCUAGGGGGUAUUGCACUUACCGAAGACUAUCAAACUCCGAAUGCCGUAUUCUUUUGCUUGGGAGUCAGACUAUGGGUGAUAAGAUUCAUAGUCAAGAGGGCAACAGCCCAGAUCGUCAGCUAAGGUCCCUAAAUGUAAGUUAAGUGGUAAAGGAUGUGGAAUUGCACAGACAACCAGGAUGUUGGCUUAGAAGCAGCCACUCAUUUAAAGAGUGCGUAAUAGCUCACUGGUCGAGUGAUUCUGCGCCGAAAAUUUCCGGGGCUAAAACUUACUACCGAAGCUACGGCAUCAUUAUGAUGGGUAGGGGAGCUUUCUAUGUGGCUUGAAGCAUGACCGUAAGGACAUGUGGACUGCAUAGAAGUGAGAAUGUUGGCAUGAGUAGCGAGAUGUGGGUGAGAAUCCCACAGGCCGUAAACCCAAGGUUUCCAGGGGAAGGUUCGUCCGCCCUGGGUUAGUCAGGACCUAAGCCGAGGCCGAAAGGCGUAGGUGAUGGACAACAGGUUGAUAUUCCUGUACCACCAAUAACCGUUUGAGAAAUGGGAUGACACAGUAGGAUAAGCUAACCGCACUGUUGGUUAUGUGCGGGCAAGUAUUGAGGCAGUUCCGAUAGGCAAAUCCGUCGGAAUAAUGCUGGGGUACGAUGCGGAGCGAAAUUUAGUAGCGAAGUAGCUGAUUUCACACUGUCGAGAAAAGUCUCUAUCGAGGUUAAAGGUGCCUGUACCGCAAACCGACACAGGUGGGUGAGGAGAGUAUCCUAAGGCCAGCGAGAGAACUGUUGUUAAGGAACUCGGCAAAAUGACCCCGUAACUUCGGGAGAAGGGGUGCCUUCGAAAGAAGGCCGCAGAGAAUAGGCCCAAGCGACUGUUUACCAAAAACAUAGGUUUCUGCUAAGUCGCAAGACGAUGUAUAGGAGCUGACGCCUGCCCGGUGCUGGAAGGUUAAGGGGAUCUGUUAGAGCAAUCGAAGCAGUGAACUUAAGCCCCAGUAAACGGCGGCCGUAACUAUAACGGUCCUAAGGUAGCGAAAUUCCUUGUCGGGUAAGUUCCGACCCGCACGAAAGGCGUAACGAUUUGGGCACUGUCUCAACAACAGACUCGGUGAAAUUGUAAUACCGGUGAAGAUGCCGGUUACCUGCGACAGGACGGAAAGACCCCAUGGAGCUUUACUGUAGCUUGACAUUGAGUCUCGGUGCUACAUGUACAGGAUAGGUGGGAGACUAUGAAGCAUGGACGUCAGUCUGUGUGGAGUCAUCCUUGGGAUACCACCCUUGUAGUACUGGGAUUCUAACCAGAGGCCAUGAAUCUGGUCUUGGGACACUGUCAGGUGGACAGUUUGACUGGGGCGGUCGCCUCCCAAAAAGUAACGGAGGCGCUCAAAGGUUCUCUCAGUACGGUCGGAAAUCGUACGAAGAGUGUAAAGGCAAAAGAGAGCUUGAUUGCAAGACAUACAGGUCGAGCAAGGACGAAAGUCGGACUUAGUGAUCCGGUGGUUCCGCAUGGAAGGGCCAUCGCU